CAAGUGACCUACAAAAAGAAUGGCAAACAGCAGCUGGGGUAAAGUGCUCAGCGAGGACGGUUCGAAACAGGCUCCUACGGGCAGGCCUGAAGUCAUGCACAUCUAGAAAAAAGCCCUUCGUCAAUGAGAAGCAAAGAAGAGCCAGGCUGAAGUUUGCAAAAGACCAUAAGGAUUGGACCAUAGAGGAGUGGAGAACCUCCCAGCUGCCCUCUGCUGGAAGCAGAGAAGAUCCCCAGUGUGGUCUUCCUCUCUGCCCUAACCAGGCAGGAACAACAUUACCUGCAAACGCAGAGGAACUGGAGCAAUGAAGACGAACACAAAACACACACCCACACCUUGGAGAUUUACAGACCGAUGGAUUCUGGUUAAGAAAUUGCAAUGACAUUUGCUCAAACGGACAGGCUCUUUUCUAGGACCACAUGUAUGCACUUAACUAAAAGUUACUCUCUCACACACACAAAUUGAGAUCCAGAAAGGUUAAUACCAUACACAUGUUAAUAAUGUAGAAGUGUUUUUUAUUAUCUGGUUUCUUUUACUUUCUCUCUUCAACCUGCCUUAACUGUACAGAUCCACCUAGUAUGACACACACACAAACACACACAUAAACACACCAACAUAUAUAUAUAUAUAAAUAACCAGUAAGAGAGGAAGUGAGCAGGAGAACCUAAGAACUACUAGCAUGCGAAGGGAAGAGGGACGAUGUGUUAAUGACUAACAGUACUGUUGUUUCCAUCUAGCGUAUACCACGCAUGUAAACUACAAAGUAGAACUGUAGGGCAAACCAUAAUAAUGAAGGCAGUUAUGAUAACGGUGACAGUUUGCCUUUUUACAAAGCGUGAGUGACACUGUUCAGAUAUCCUCUUUUUAAACGCCUAUACAUGUAGCUGAAGAUGCAGGCUGAGGAACAAGGAGUCCAGAGCCUAUAUUGUACGGAGCUGAGCUGACUGGGAGAGGCAUAUUGAAAUCAGUCCCUUAAAACAAACGACCUGACAUGUUACCUACCAUUAUGUAUCCAUUCGGUAGGAACUAUUAGGAAGCAAUGAGCAGGAGUUUGAGACUUGAUUUGAAAGGGAUAGUUAACCCAAAUGAACCCUGAUAGCAGCUGCAGGACAAGUUAUGACAGCACCAUAUUUUGGUUUUAUUUCCAGAUUGAUUUGAGCGACAAAUAUUGAAAUACAGGGCUACUUUUUAAAAUACAGGAGAUAUUUUUUGACUUGUUGUUUAGUAGAUUGUAAUAAAUAUUUGAGACAAUUA
This is a long non-coding RNA of Esox lucius (northern pike), 1254 nucleotides long. RefSeq lists it as uncharacterized. The record is from RefSeq and is a predicted model, not a curated record. The transcript has 2 exons. NCBI's taxonomy places the organism in Eukaryota, Metazoa, Chordata, Actinopteri, Esociformes, Esocidae.